This 468-nucleotide ribosomal RNA is filed under the name uncultured bacterium. RNAcentral describes it as "partial 16S ribosomal RNA". It matches the Rfam family "Bacterial small subunit ribosomal RNA", at positions 28 to 507 of the family's 1533-position model. The record is from RNAcentral.
GACGAACGCUGGCGGCGUGCUUAACACAUGCAAGUCGAACGGAAAGGCCCUGCUUUUGUGGGGUGCUCGUGUGGCGAACGGGUGAGUAACACGUGAGUAACCUGCCCUUGACUUUGGGAUAACUUCAGGAAACUGGGGCUAAUACCGGAUAGGAGCUCCUGCUGCAUGGUGGGGGUUGGAAAGUUUCGGCGGUUGGGGAUGGACUCGCGGCUUAUCAGCUUGUUGGUGGGGUAGUGGCUUACCAAGGCCUUGACGGGUAGCCGGCCUGAGAGGGUGACCGGCCACAUUGGGACUGAGAUACGGCCCAGACUCCUACGGGAGGCAGCAGUGGGGAAUAUUGCACAAUGGGCGGAAGCCUGAUGCAGCAACGCCGCGUGCGGGAUGACGGCCUUCGGGUUGUAAACCGCUUUCGCCUGUGACGAAGCGUGAGUGACGGUAAUGGGUAAAGAAGCACCGGCUAACUACGUG